CCUGACUGGAGGGCUGCAGGGACUUGGAACAGUAUAAGACUGGGCUAAGUGUCUGUAGCUGAGCCGGGGGAUGUUUCUUCACUGUGAACCGCAGAAAAAGAUACUGAAAAGCGGCGGCAGAACAGCAGUGGAUGGAGAAAGUGGCAGAGAGCCAGAAGAGAUAAGACCGAGCAGCAACAGGCAUGCAGCAACACAGAGAGAACUCCUGGAAGGAGAGAGAGAAAGAGAAAGAGAGCCAGCAGCAGAGAGAGCAAGACUAAGCUCUACAGACAGAGGCAGAGUUCUGGGAUGCUGAACUAAGACAUAGAAGAAGUCCAGACUCAGCAGGUGGUGGGAGUUGAAUGAAGAGGAGAUUCUGUCAGCAAGUCAUUUCUGCAGUUAAGGUGGGACAAUUCAAUGAAGGAAUAAAGGCGGAAUACUGGAG
Long non-coding RNA from Pipra filicauda (Wire-tailed manakin), 424 nucleotides. RefSeq lists it as uncharacterized. The transcript is spliced from 4 exons. NCBI's taxonomy places the organism in Eukaryota, Metazoa, Chordata, Aves, Passeriformes, Pipridae. The record is from RefSeq and is a predicted model, not a curated record.